GUGGGGAAUUUUGCGCAAUGGGCGAAAGCCUGACGCAGCGACGCCGCGUGUGCGAUGAAGGCCUUUGGGUCGUAAAGCACUGUCAACCGGGACGAAAACUCGACGAAGAUAACACGUCGAGCUUGACGGUACCGGUGGAGGAAGCACCGGCUAACUCUGUGCCAGCAGCCGCGGUAAUACAGAGGGUGCAAACGUUGUUCGGAAUUACUGGGCGUAAAGCGCGUGUAGGCGGUUCGUUAAGUUGACUGUGAAAGCCCGUGGCUCAACCACGGAAGUGCAGUCAAAACUGGCGGACUUGAGUCCUGGAGAGGGUGGUGGAAUUCCCAGUGUAGAGGUGAAAUUCGUAGAUAUUGGGAGGAACACCGGUGGCGAAGGCGGCCACCUGGACGGGUACUGACGCUGAGACGCGAAAGCGUGGGUAGCAAACAGGAUUAGAUACCCGUGUAGUCC
This 450-nucleotide ribosomal RNA is filed under the name uncultured bacterium. RNAcentral describes it as "bacterial SSU rRNA". It matches the Rfam family "Bacterial small subunit ribosomal RNA", at positions 354 to 796 of the family's 1533-position model. The record is from RNAcentral.